AUUGAACGCUGGCGGCAGGCCUAACACAUGCAAGUCGAACGGUAACAGGAAGCAGCUUGCUGCUUCGCUGACGAGUGGCGGACGGGUGAGUAAUGUCUGGGAAACUGCCUGAUGGAGGGGGAUAACUACUGGAAACGGUAGCUAAUACCGCAUAACGUCGCAAGACCAAAGAGGGGGACCUUAGGGCCUCUUGCCAUCGGAUGUGCCCAGAUGGGAUUAGCUAGUAGGUGGGGUAACGUCUCACCUAGGGGACGUUCCCUAGCUGGUCUGAGAGGAUGACCAGCCACCCGGGAACUGAGACACGGUCCGGACCCCUACGGAGGGAAGCAGUGGGGAAUAUUGGACAUUGGGCGCAGGCCGGAUGCAGCCAUGCCGCGUGGAUGAGGAAGGCCUUCGGGUUGUAAAGUACUUUCAGCGGGGAGGAAGGGAGUAAAGUUAAUACCUUUGCUCAUUGACGUUACCCGAAGAAGAAGCGCCGGCUAACUCCGUG
Molecule: ribosomal RNA, 490 nt
Filed under: uncultured bacterium
Lineage: Bacteria
Description: partial 16S ribosomal RNA
Rfam family: Bacterial small subunit ribosomal RNA
Source: RNAcentral